ACGUAAUAUCUAAAGGAAAAGGUACAAGACAUUUUUUCCAAAAAAAGUAUAUGAACUUUAGAGAAUAGCUCCAAUUUACCAGUGUCUCUUAGGAAUGACACAAAAUCCGAGGAAAACCAAGUACGACAGUUGCAAACCAAUCAGUAACUGCGUCGAUGGAGAGAUCUCCGUCAUACCAUUCCUAAAGAAGAAAUGUCCUGUUGGCAUUCUCUCAGCAAGGGAUGCUGCAAGUUGAACAUCGCCUAGUUCCACCAUACCAGC
This 261-nucleotide unclassified non-coding RNA is filed under the name Hevea brasiliensis (rubber tree). The record is from RNAcentral. Lineage: Eukaryota; Viridiplantae; Streptophyta; Magnoliopsida; Malpighiales; Euphorbiaceae.